GCAGAAUUCAGUGAAUCAUCGAAUCUUUGAACGCAAAUGGCGCUCUUGGGUUCUCCCAGGAGCAUGUCUGUCUGAGUGUCUUUUUCGUUGAAUGACAUUCGCACGAUGUGGCCGUGUUAUGCACUGGCGUUUCGUGCGGCGUUGAGGUUCGCGGCCUUGCUAUUCUUAGGCCGCGUGCCUUUAAAUGGAGGAGGAAGAUGGGCUCAAGGUCCGGUGCAGUCGCAUGCGGAUUCAGUUGAUGUGCCGCAUGUGACUGCUGCAUCGGGAAUAUUGUCCUCGGCCCUCUACCUCGUGACCUUUAGCACGACGUUCGUUCGUUCGUUCGUUCGUUCGUUCGUUCGUUCGUUCGUUCGUUCGUUGGUUGCUUGCCGCCAGACCUCAGAUCAGGCAAGGCUACCCGCUGAAUUUAAGCAUAUUAAUAAGCGGAGGAAAAGAAACUAACAAGGAUUCCCCCAGUAACGGCGAGUGAAGCGGGAAGAGCUCAAAUUUGAAAUCUCCGAUGCCUGCAUCGGCGAGUUGUAGUUGCGAGAAGCACUUUCUAGGCGGAAGGGCCCUGCCUAAGUUGCUUGGAACAGCACGUCGCAGAGGGUGACAACCCCGUCU
RNAcentral lists this unclassified non-coding RNA (603 nucleotides) under Stylophora mamillata. RNAcentral describes it as "sequence contains 5.8S rRNA gene, ITS2, 28S rRNA gene". The stretch from base 374 to 603 matches the Rfam family "Eukaryotic large subunit ribosomal RNA", at positions 1 to 226 of the family's 3401-position model. Lineage: Eukaryota; Metazoa; Cnidaria; Anthozoa; Scleractinia; Pocilloporidae. The record is from RNAcentral.